This 253-nucleotide ribosomal RNA is filed under the name uncultured bacterium. RNAcentral describes it as "partial 16S ribosomal RNA". It matches the Rfam family "Bacterial small subunit ribosomal RNA", at positions 524 to 776 of the family's 1533-position model. The record is from RNAcentral.
UACGAAGGGUGCUAGCGUUGUUCGGAAUUACUGGGCGUAAAGCGCGCGUAGGCGGCUUAUCAAGUCAGGGGUGAAAUCCCGGGGCUCAACCCCGGAAUUGCCUUUGAAACUGGUAAGCUUGAGUGUCGGAGGGGAUAGCGGAAUUGCUAAUGUAGAGGUGAAAUUCGUAGAUAUUAGCAGGAACACCGGUGGCGAAGGCGGCUAUCUGGACGACAACUGACGCUGAGGCGCGAAAGCGUGGGGAUCAAACAGG